GUCGAGAAUUUUUCUCAAUGGGGGAAACCCUGAAGGAGCGACGCCGCGUGGGGGAUGAAGGGCUUCGGCCUGUAAACCCCUGUCAUUUGCGAACAAACCCUGUGUGUUAAGAGCAUGCAGGCUGAUUGUAGCGAAAGAGGAAGGGACGGCUAACUCUGUGCCAGCAGCCGCGGUAAUACAGAGGUCCCGAGCGUUGUUCGGAUUCACUGGGCGUAAAGGGUGCGUAGGCGGUGAUGUAAGUUUGAUGUGAAAGCUCGCAGCUCAACUGCGAAAUGGCAUUGAAUACUACAUUGCUAGAGGCUUGGAGGGGGGACUGGAAUUCUCGGUGUAGCAGUGAAAUGCGUAGAUAUCGAGAGGAACACCAGUGGCGAAGGCGAGUCCCUGGACAAGUCCUGACGCUGAGGCACGAAAGCUAGGGGAGCAAACAGGAUUAGAUACCCUAGUAGUCC
RNAcentral lists this ribosomal RNA (449 nucleotides) under uncultured bacterium. RNAcentral's name for it is "bacterial SSU rRNA". It matches the Rfam family "Bacterial small subunit ribosomal RNA", at positions 354 to 796 of the family's 1533-position model. The record is from RNAcentral.